Molecule: long non-coding RNA, 480 nt
Organism: Myotis brandtii (Brandt's bat)
Lineage: Eukaryota; Metazoa; Chordata; Mammalia; Chiroptera; Vespertilionidae
Exons: 4
Source: RefSeq, a predicted model, not a curated record
CUGGAGCUGUGAUGUGGAGGAGGAAGCGCUCAGGUGGAAAAGGAGGGAGCUAUGCUCAGGCUGCCAGCAGCGAUAGUGCCCAGGGCUCUGAUGUAUCUCUCACAGCUUGUAAAGCGUGAGGCAGUUGGUGGGGACUGAGUGAUGGGAGAUUUGUUCAAGCUCCUACUUUGUGAUUCAAGAACCUCUGAUUUCUUUCUGCAAACGGCAUCUGAAUGUGUGUGCUCCUAUCAGCAUAACAUGAGGAGGUGGGAGGCUGGCCCACCCCUGCCCACCACACCCCCUCCCCAGCCUUUCCUGUCCAGUAGAGGUGGGGCUGGGCCCUCCCCAUUCGUUUUUACUUCUUGGUGCUCUAAGCUGCAGCCUCUUACUGCCUGAUUGAAAUAAGAGUCUGGAUUUGCAUUCUUCUUCACUUCUUGCCAUGAAGGGGUAAUGGGUUCCUUAAAGGAGAACAGCCCGGCUGGUGUGCUUCAGUGGCUGAGU